AUUCAAAUAGUGCGUAGGAGAGAAAUAAUAAAAUCAACACAUUUGUUUACAUCCACUCCAGUUUUUCUCAUAUACAUAGAAUGGCUCCAUUUUAUGCCAAACUUGGUCCUGACCGUCAAUGGAUUAGGGUAGUGGGACAGUUGUUGCAGAAAAACGAGGUACGACCGCACCUAAUUUAUCACCAAUUUCGAGUAGGAAGGUCGAAGGGUCUUUUGGAUCAUUAUCCCGAACUUGUUAUCCUGAAAGAUGAAUUAAUUGCCCAGGGCAUAGCGGAGGAAAGGGAUCUUGAUCCCAUAGGCCUCUCUGAUCUGAGAGAAAGUGCCCGACAGCGUCGCUCAUCAACCGUCCAUCUUGAUCGCUCUCCUGCAAUCCCCUCGACCUCGUCUCCACCACCACUACGACGACUAUGUCAAUCACGCGAUCCUCCCCCUUUCCCAAAUUUCACUGAUGACCCCACCCUUUAUCUACCCAUAAAUUCAGGGGUUUUGAACAACAUGCGGGAAAUGUGCCGACGAUGUACAUGUCAAACAUGCAUACACCUCAAAUCUACUAAUACUUUGCCCUAGGCACUUAUGAUAUGUUCAUGAUUUUUUUUCCAAUUAAAUUACUAUAUGGUAUAAUAAUAAUCUUUUUGAUGCUGCUGAAA
Folsomia candida is the source of this 646-nucleotide long non-coding RNA. RefSeq lists it as uncharacterized. The transcript has 3 exons. Lineage: Eukaryota; Metazoa; Arthropoda; Collembola; Entomobryomorpha; Isotomidae. The record is from RefSeq and is a predicted model, not a curated record.